This 450-nucleotide ribosomal RNA is filed under the name uncultured bacterium. RNAcentral's name for it is "partial 16S ribosomal RNA". It matches the Rfam family "Bacterial small subunit ribosomal RNA", at positions 338 to 795 of the family's 1533-position model. The record is from RNAcentral.
CCUACGGGUGGCUGCAGUAAGGAAUAUUGGGCAAUGGAGGCAACUCUGACCCAGCCAUGCCGCGUGAAGGAUGACGGCCCUAUGGGUUGUAAACUUCUUUUAUACGGGAAUAAACCCGGGUACGUGUACCCGGCUGAAUGUACCGUAAGAAUAAGGAUCGGCUAACUCCGUGCCAGCAGCCGCGGUAAUACGGAGGAUCCAGGCGUUAUCGGGAUUCAUUGGGGUUAAAGGGGGCGUGUAAGGCAGCGUAGAAAUCCUACAGCUUAACUGUAGAACUGCCGUUGAUACUGCAAGUCUUGAGUACAUUUGAUGUGGGCGGAAUGUGUCAUGUAGCGGUGAAAUGCUUAGAUAUGACACGGAACACCAAUUGCGAAGGCAGCUCACAAAACUGUAACUGACGCUGAGGCACGACAGCGUGGGGAUCAAACAGGAUUAGAUACCCGGGUAGUC